RNAcentral lists this ribosomal RNA (429 nucleotides) under Acidobacteriota bacterium. Its description in RNAcentral is "Acidobacteria bacterium partial 16S ribosomal RNA". It matches the Rfam family "Bacterial small subunit ribosomal RNA", at positions 355 to 776 of the family's 1533-position model. Lineage: Bacteria; Pseudomonadati; Acidobacteriota. The record is from RNAcentral.
UGGGGAAUAUUGGACAAUGGGCGAAAGCCUGAUCCAGCCAUGCCGCGUGUGUGAAGAAGGUCUUCGGAUUGUAAAGCACUUUAAGUUGGGAGGAAGGGCAGUAAGCUAAUACCUUGCUGUUUUGACGUUACCGACAGAAUAAGCACCGGCUAACUCUGUGCCAGCAGCCGCGGUAAUACAGAGGGUGCAAGCGUUAAUCGGAAUUACUGGGCGUAAAGCGCGCGUAGGUGGUUUGUUAAGUUGGAUGUGAAAGCCCCGGGCUCAACCUGGGAACUGCAUCCAAAACUGGCAGGCUAGAGUACGGUAGAGGGUGGUGGAAUUUCCAGUGUAGCGAUGAAAUGCGUAGAUAUAGGAAGGAACACCAGUGGCGGAGGCGACCACCUGGACUGAUACUGACACUGAGGUGCGAAAGCGUGGGGAGCAAACAGG